GAGUAACACGUGGGUAACCUGCCUUAUAGUGGGGGAUAGCCUUUCGAAAGGAAGAUUAAUACCGCAUAAGAUUGUAGUAUCGCGUGAUAUAGCAAUUAAAGGAGCAAUUCGCUAUAAGAUGGACCCGCGUCGCAUUAGCUAGUUGGUGAGGUAAUGGCUCACCAAGGCGACGAUGCGUAGCCGACCUGAGAGGGUGAACGGCCACAUUGGGACUGAGACACGGCCCAGACUCCUACGGGAGGCAGCAUG
RNAcentral lists this ribosomal RNA (249 nucleotides) under uncultured bacterium. RNAcentral's name for it is "partial 16S ribosomal RNA". It matches the Rfam family "Bacterial small subunit ribosomal RNA", at positions 108 to 353 of the family's 1533-position model. The record is from RNAcentral.